UUUGAAUCGGUUUCUGUUCGGUUGGUUCGGUUCGGUUUUUUUGCCCACCCCUAUUCAUUUACUUAUGCAAUUAUAUCACCGUCUUUCUUUGAAAAGAUGAACUUAUCCUCUUUCCGAAAUGGAAUAUCGUUUUUAUUCACAAACUAGACUUGUAUUUUUAACCACCCAUUUAUUAACUAUGUGGCUUUUAUUUGUAGUAAUUAUUAAAGUGGCGUGCUGUGAUUUAAAUUAACAAGUGAAGAUUCCUUGGUUCAGACCAAAAAAGCAAUGUCACUCUAUAUAGAUUUUAUAUUGUCCAUAUGUGCUCCACGUCAUCCCUUUCCCUUUCUCUCUAUCACUAGUAAAUUAUAAGCGACAAGGGUAUAAAUGGGUGAAACUUUGGCUAAAUGUUAUUUAUUUAAUAACG
RNAcentral lists this long non-coding RNA (406 nucleotides) under Brassica napus (rape). Its description in RNAcentral is "long non-coding RNA (BNAP_LNC019873)". The record is from RNAcentral. Lineage: Eukaryota; Viridiplantae; Streptophyta; Magnoliopsida; Brassicales; Brassicaceae.